Molecule: non-coding RNA, 88 nt
Organism: Coniochaeta ligniaria NRRL 30616
Lineage: Eukaryota; Fungi; Ascomycota; Sordariomycetes; Coniochaetales; Coniochaetaceae
Source: the annotation of a GenBank genome assembly
GCCCUCGUGGGCCAGUGGUUAGGCCGCAGCUCUCCGGCAUCUACACGCCGAGCCAGGCUGAAGACCCGGGUUCGAGUACGCGUGGGCG